This 1231-nucleotide long non-coding RNA is filed under the name Mus musculus (house mouse). RNAcentral's name for it is "long non-coding RNA chr19:4760111-4761342". The record is from RNAcentral. Lineage: Eukaryota; Metazoa; Chordata; Mammalia; Rodentia; Muridae.
GUCCUUCUAGUGACAAAGCAAUGGAGCAUUAUCAUGUCACCUACAUCUCCAGUCUUCCGUGAACCCUCACCUAAGAUAGACCUUCAGAAUUAGGAUUAACUUUUUAGCAUUUUAAUAGUCUCUCUUGUUCUAGUUUUCAAGAGAAAAUGCUUUUUCUGGGCUGAUUUUCUGGUAAAUAUUGUAAAAUUUCAGUAACUUAGAGAUUCUAAAGCACAGAAUUUUAUUUUACAGGUGUUUCUAGCUCUAAGUUCACAACUGUAGAAAUGGAUUUUGCCACACUAGAGCAUUCUCAUCCUCUACACUAAAAGCAUGACUAGUGCAGGGCAGACAUCAAGUAAAAUCACUGUAGUUCAAUGGAAAAUGAACUCAGUCAGAAUCUAUCAAAGUCAACAAAUUCAUUGGUUUUUUUCCCCCUUAAAAGUAGACUUGUAGCCGGGCAUGGUGGCACACGCCUUUAAUCCCAGCACUCGGGAGGCAGAGGCAGGCGGAUUUCUGAGUUCGAGGCCACCUGGUCUACAAAGUGAGCUCCAGGACAGCCAGGGCUAUACAGAGAAACCCUGUCUCGAAAAACCAAAAAAAAAAAAAAAAAAAAAAAAAAAAAGUAGACUUGUAGAUAUCUGGGUCAAUGCAGAGUGUUCCCUUUCUAGACUGGCAUGGUUAUUCUGACUCGUGUCAGUUAUACAGCUGUCUGUCUGAAAGUGGCUUAUCCUCUCAAAUAUAGAGAGCCUUACAUAGGAGGUAUAAGUGAGUAUGUGUAGCACACGAUACUUUCAUUCACACCAUCUAUCUAUUGACAGCAUCAGUGGUAUGAGGAAGACUAGUAGCUGGGGUCCUAAAUUAGAACACUUUUGUUUUGGGACAGGGUUUCUCCAUAGUUAGUUCUGGCUGUCUUGGAACUCACUCUGUAGACCAGGCUGACCUUGAACUCAGAGGUUCACCUGUCUCUGCUUUGAUCUCUGAGUGCUGGGAUUAAAGGUGAGCACCACCACAGCCUGGCUAAAGCAUCUUUGUUCUCACUAAAGAUGGUUUACGUUGAAGACAACAAGGGUCCCUGGAUUGGGUGAUAACAUAAACUCUUGGGCAAAAGAGUUCUUUUCUUAGCUAUUUCUCAGUGGUAAUUUUCUAGAAACAUGUAUAUGUGUAUUGCUUGAAUGGGUGCUCACAGUUCUUUUGGGCAACUGUAGAGAAAUUAUGUUCUGCAUGGUAGGAAUAAAAUGUUGGUCAUUCUUUU